Non-coding RNA from Bradysia coprophila, 73 nucleotides. NCBI's taxonomy places the organism in Eukaryota, Metazoa, Arthropoda, Insecta, Diptera, Sciaridae. The record is from the annotation of a RefSeq genome assembly.
GUCCCUUUGGCGCAGUGGAAAGCGCGCCGGACUCCUAAUCCGGAGGUCGCGGGUUCGACCCCCGCAAGGGAUU